This 385-nucleotide ribosomal RNA is filed under the name uncultured bacterium. Its description in RNAcentral is "bacterial SSU rRNA". It matches the Rfam family "Bacterial small subunit ribosomal RNA", at positions 29 to 419 of the family's 1533-position model. The record is from RNAcentral.
AGCGAACGCUAGCGGCGGGCCUAACACAUGCAAGUCGAGCGGGGAGCAAUCCCAGCGGCGAACGGGUGAGUAACACGUAGGUAAUGUGCCUUUUGGUGGGGAAUAACCGUGGGAAACCAUGGCUAAUACCGCAUAUCGUGCUUCGGCAUGAAAGCUUCUGAGGCAACUCGGGGGCGCCAGUUGAGCAGCCUGCGUCCCAUUAUUUAGUCCUAGUUGGUAGGGUAAUGGCCUACCAAGGGUACGAUGGGUAGCUGGUCUGAGAGGAUGAUCAGCCACACUGGAACUGAGACACGGUCCAGACUCCUACGGGAGGCAGCAGUGGGGGAAUAUUGCGCAAUGGGGGAAACCCUGACGCAGCCACGCCGCGUGAGUGAUGAAGGCCUUC